CUCCUCCCAACCGCACCUCCAAGCACCCCUAUCCUUCCAGCCGCACCUCCAAGUACCUCCAUCCUCCCUUCUUCCAAUUGCACCUCCAAACAUCUUCUCCUUCUUCUCUCUCUUCCAAGGAAGCUCGAUUUUUCUCCAUCGAUCUUCUCCAACCAAGAUCCGACGAGGGUGCCCGAUCUCUCUUCAUCGGUCCUCUCCAACCAAAAUCUACCGAUGGCUUCUCCAACUUCCUGGAUCCGAAGAGAUCAAUUUGAAUCUAACCCUUUUCUCUUCAACCAAGAUUCGGAGAGGGUACACAAUCUCUCUUCACCGGUCCUCUUCAACUAAGAUCCAGUGGGGGUGUUCGAUCUAUCUUCACUGGUCCUCUUCAACCAAUAUUCAACGAUGGCUUCUCUAUCUUUGUGGAUCCGACAACUCCACUCGAUGAUCACCACCAUCACGUCUGGCAUCUAUCGGUUCUCCGAGGUAAAUUUCUUUCCUAACCAUCCCGCUUUCCUUAUCGACCAUCAUUGGACCUUCUCUUCAUUGACAGUAAUUGGUCCAACCCAAAGCCCACCAUCCUCGGUUUGAUUCUCGAUCCAUUCACACCUUUCAGGCCUAAUCAUGGGCCUCAGUUCAAGUUCGGCCCAAGCCACAGCCCAAGUCUUGAACUGAGGCCCAAUUUUUAUGGACAACCUAUGCCAAUCCCACUGGAUUGGCUCUGGAUGUUUUUGGGCUAUUCCACUCCACAGAUGCUUGGCGAAGACGAGUGAUCUAGCGGACAAC
This 765-nucleotide long non-coding RNA is filed under the name Elaeis guineensis (African oil palm). Its description in RNAcentral is "long non-coding RNA (EGUI_LNC022023)". The record is from RNAcentral. Lineage: Eukaryota; Viridiplantae; Streptophyta; Magnoliopsida; Arecales; Arecaceae.